This 302-nucleotide ribosomal RNA is filed under the name uncultured bacterium. RNAcentral describes it as "partial 16S ribosomal RNA". It matches the Rfam family "Bacterial small subunit ribosomal RNA", at positions 508 to 807 of the family's 1533-position model. The record is from RNAcentral.
GCAGUAGCCGCGGGAAUACGUAGGUGGCAAGCGUUGUCCGGAAUUAUUGGGCGUAUAGGGCUCGCAGGCGGUUUCUUAAGUCUGAUGUGAAAGCCCCCGGCUCAACCGGGGAGGGUCAUUGGAAACUGGGAAACUUGAGUGCAGAAGAGGAGAGUGGAAUUCCACGUGUAGCGGUGAAAUGCGUAGAGAUGUGGAGGAACACCAGUGGCGAAGGCGACUCUCUGGUCUGUAACUGACGCUGAGGAGCGAAAGCGUGGGGAGCGAACAGGAUUAGAUACCCCCGUAGUCCCUGUCUCUUAUAC